RNAcentral lists this ribosomal RNA (359 nucleotides) under Pseudomonas aeruginosa. RNAcentral describes it as "bacterial SSU rRNA". It matches the Rfam family "Bacterial small subunit ribosomal RNA", at positions 1150 to 1508 of the family's 1533-position model. The record is from RNAcentral. RNAcentral also lists the same sequence under 1 other name. Lineage: Bacteria; Pseudomonadati; Pseudomonadota; Gammaproteobacteria; Pseudomonadales; Pseudomonadaceae.
UGCCAGUGAUAAACUGGAGGAAGGUGGGGAUGACGUCAAGUCAUCAUGGCCCUUACGACCAGGGCUACACACGUGCUACAAUGGCAUAUACAAAGAGAAGCGACCUCGCGAGAGCAAGCGGACCUCAUAAAGUAUGUCGUAGUCCGGAUUGGAGUCUGCAACUCGACUCCAUGAAGUCGGAAUCGCUAGUAAUCGUAGAUCAGAAUGCUACGGUGAAUACGUUCCCGGGCCUUGUACACACCGCCCGUCACACCAUGGGAGUGGGUUGCAAAAGAAGUAGGUAGCUUAACCUUCGGGAGGGCGCUUACCACUUUGUGAUUCAUGACUGGGGUGAAGUCGUAACAAGGUAACCGUAGGGG